CUUUAUUGGAGAGUUUGAUCCUGGCUCAGGAUGAACGCUGGCGGCGUGCCUAAUACAUGCAAGUCGAGCGAAUGGAUUAAGAGCUUGCUCUUAUGAAGUUAGCGGCGGACGGGUGAGUAACACGUGGGUAACCUGCCCAUAAGACUGGGAUAACUCCGGGAA
This 162-nucleotide ribosomal RNA is filed under the name Bacillus cereus. Its description in RNAcentral is "partial 16S ribosomal RNA". It matches the Rfam family "Bacterial small subunit ribosomal RNA", at positions 1 to 155 of the family's 1533-position model. Lineage: Bacteria; Bacillati; Bacillota; Bacilli; Caryophanales; Bacillaceae. RNAcentral also lists the same sequence under 1 other name. The record is from RNAcentral.